This 425-nucleotide ribosomal RNA is filed under the name uncultured bacterium. Its description in RNAcentral is "bacterial SSU rRNA". It matches the Rfam family "Bacterial small subunit ribosomal RNA", at positions 356 to 773 of the family's 1533-position model. The record is from RNAcentral.
GGGGAAUAUUGGACAAUGGGCGCAAGCCUGAUCCAGCAAUGCCGCGUGGGUGAAGAAGGCCUGCGGGUUGUAAAGCCCUUUAAGUGGGGAGGAACGGCGGGAUGCGAACAGUGUUCUGCUCUGACGUUACCCACAGAAUAAGCACCGGCUAACUCCGUGCCAGCAGCCGCGGUAAUACGGGGGGUGCAAGCGUUAAUCGGAAUUACUGGGCGUAAAGCGUGCGUAGGCGGUUUGGUCAGUCAGCCGUGAAAGCCCUGGGCUUAACCUGGGAACGGCGGUUGAGACGGCCAGACUCGAGUGGGCUAGAGGAUCGUGGAAUUCCCGGUGUAGCGGUGAAAUGCGUAGAGAUCGGGAGGAACACCGAUGGCGAAGGCAGCGGUCUGGGGCCACACUGACGCUGAGGCACGAAAGCGUGGGGAGCAAAC